This 433-nucleotide unclassified non-coding RNA is filed under the name soil metagenome. Its description in RNAcentral is "partial contains 5.8S ribosomal RNA, internal transcribed spacer 2, and large subunit ribosomal RNA". The stretch from base 1 to 120 matches the Rfam family "5.8S ribosomal RNA", at positions 35 to 154 of the family's 154-position model. The record is from RNAcentral.
GAUGAAGAACGCAGUGAAAUGCGAUACGUAAUGUGAAUUGCAGAAUUCAGUGAAUCAUCGAAUCUUUGAACGCAUAUUGCGCUCUCUGGUAUUCCGGAGAGCAUGCUUGUUUGAGUAUCAGUAAACACCUCAACUUCCAUAUCUUUUUUGAAAUGGGAGUUGGACUUGAGUGAUCCCAACGCUUUUCCUCACCGAAAAGUGGCGGGUUACUUGAAAUGCAGGUGCAGCUGGACUUUUCUCUGAGCUAUAAGCAUAUCUAUUUAGUCUGCCUAAAAAACAGAUUAUUACCUUUGCUGCAGCUAACAUAAAGGAGAUUAGUUCUUGUGCUGACUGAUGCAGGAUUCACAAAGACAGGCUUCGGCCGACUUUGAAAACUCGAUCUCAAAUCAAGUAAGACUACCCGCUGAACUUAAGCAUAUCAAUAAGCGGAGGA